GAUGAACGCUAGCGGCAGGCUUAUACAUGCAAGUCGAGGGGCAGCAUGAGUGUAGCAAUACAUUUGAUGGCGACCGGCAAACGGGUGCGGAACACGUACACAACCUUCCUAUAAGUGGGGAAUAGCCCAGAGAAAUUUGGAUUAAUACCCCGUAACAUAAUGAUGUGGCAUCACAUUAUUAUUAUAGCUACGGCGCUUAUUGAUGGGUGUGCGGCUGAUUAGAUAGUUGGCGGGGUAACGGCCCACCAAGUCUACGAUCAGUAGCUGAUGUGAGAGCAUGAUCAGCCACACGGGCACUGAGACACGGGCCCGACUCCUACGGGAGGCAGCAGUAAGGAAUAUUGGUCAAUGGACGCAAGUCUGAACCAGCCAUGCCGCGUGAAGGAUUAAGGUCCUCUGGAUUGUAAACUUCUUUUAUCUGGGACGAAAAAAGGCGAUUCUUCGUCACUUGACGGUACCAGAUGAAUAAGCACCGGCUAACUCCGUGCCAGCAGCCGCGGUAAUACGGAGGGUGCAAGCGUUAUCCGGAUUCACUGGGUUUAAAGGGUGCGUAGGCGGGUAGGUAAGUCAGUGGUGAAAUCCUGGAGCUUAACUCCAGAACUGCCAUUGAUACUAUCUAUCUUGAAUAUUGUGGAGGUAAGCGGAAUAUGUCAUGUAGCGGUGAAAUGCUUAGAUAUGACAUAGAACACCUAUUGCGAAGGCAGCUUACUACGCAUAUAUUGACGCUGAGGCACGAAAGCG
Molecule: ribosomal RNA, 741 nt
Filed under: uncultured Saprospiraceae bacterium
Lineage: Bacteria; Pseudomonadati; Bacteroidota; Saprospiria; Saprospirales; Saprospiraceae
Description: bacterial SSU rRNA
Rfam family: Bacterial small subunit ribosomal RNA
Source: RNAcentral